ACUCCUACGGGAGGCAGCAGUAGGGAAUAUUGCGCAAUGGACGAAAGUCUGACGCAGCCACGCCGCGUGAGUGAGGAAGGCCUUCGGUUGUAAGACUCUGUCGCCUGGGAAAACGGACUAUUGGGGAAGUUCCAGUAGCGUGAUGGUACCAGGAGAGGAAGCACCGGCAAACUCUGUGCCAGCAGCCGCGGUAAUACAGAGGGUGCAAGCGUUGUUCGGAAUUACUGGGCGUAAAGCGUGCGUAGUCGGUAUUGAGAGUCGCGGGGUGAAAUCCCAGGGCUUAACCCUGGAACUGCCUGCGAGACCUCAGUACUAGAGUGUGAGAGGGGAUAGUGGAAUACCCAGUGUAGCGGUGAAAUGCGUAGAGAUUGGGUGGAACACCGGUGGCGAAGGCGGCUAUCUGGCUCACAACUGACGAUCAGGCACGAAAGCGUGGGGAGCAAACAGGAUUAGAUACCCUGGUAGGAUAGCG
Molecule: ribosomal RNA, 472 nt
Filed under: uncultured bacterium
Lineage: Bacteria
Description: bacterial SSU rRNA
Rfam family: Bacterial small subunit ribosomal RNA
Source: RNAcentral